UACGACUAUAUCACGUUGAAACACCUGUUCCAGUAAGAUUACCGAACUUAAGCAACGUUGGGCUUGGCCAAUACCUAGAUAGGUGACAGCUUGGAAAUUCCAGGUGCUGUAAG
Molecule: non-coding RNA, 113 nt
Organism: Acanthosepion pharaonis
Lineage: Eukaryota; Metazoa; Mollusca; Cephalopoda; Sepiida; Sepiidae
Source: the annotation of a GenBank genome assembly